RNAcentral lists this microRNA (21 nucleotides) under Sarcophilus harrisii (Tasmanian devil). RNAcentral's name for it is "Sha-Mir-7373-o8f_3p (mature (co-guide))". Lineage: Eukaryota; Metazoa; Chordata; Mammalia; Dasyuromorphia; Dasyuridae. The record is from RNAcentral.
CAAAGAGAAAGGAAGGGUUGC